This 385-nucleotide ribosomal RNA is filed under the name uncultured bacterium. RNAcentral describes it as "bacterial SSU rRNA". It matches the Rfam family "Bacterial small subunit ribosomal RNA", at positions 30 to 428 of the family's 1533-position model. The record is from RNAcentral.
AUUGAACGCUGGCGGCAUGCCUAACACAUGCAAGUCGAACGGGGUAGCAAUACCCAGUGGCGGACGGGUGAGGAAUACAUAGGAAUUUGCCUUUAGGUGGGGGAUAGCCCGGGGAAACUCGGAGUAAUACCGCAUGAUGUCGAAAGACCAAAGUAGGGGAUCGCAAGACCUUGCGCCUUUAGAGAAGCCUAUGUCUGAUUAGCUAGUUGGUAGGGUAAUGGCCUACCAAGGCGACGAUCGGUAACUGGUCUGAGAGGACGAUCAGUCACACCGGAACUGAGACACGGUCCGGACUCCUACGGGAGGCAGCAGUGGGGAAUAUUGGACAAUGGGCGAAAGCCUGAUCCAGCAAUGCCGCGUGUGUGAAGAAGGCCUUCGGUUGUAA